This 253-nucleotide ribosomal RNA is filed under the name uncultured bacterium. Its description in RNAcentral is "partial 16S ribosomal RNA". It matches the Rfam family "Bacterial small subunit ribosomal RNA", at positions 524 to 776 of the family's 1533-position model. The record is from RNAcentral.
UACGUAGGGUGCGAGCGUUGUCCGGAAUUAUUGGGCGUAAAGGGCUCGUAGGCGGUUUGUCGCGUCGGGAGUGAAAUCCACUGGCUUAACUGGUGGCUUGCUUUCGAUACGGGCAGACUGGAGGUAUGCAGGGGAGAACGGAAUUCCUGGUGUAGCGGUGAAAUGCGCAGAUAUCAGGAGGAACACCGGUGGCGAAGGCGGCAUCCUGGACCGAUAUUGACGCUGAUGCGCGAAAGCCAGGGGAGCAAACGGG